Molecule: long non-coding RNA, 965 nt
Organism: Acanthopagrus latus (yellowfin seabream)
Lineage: Eukaryota; Metazoa; Chordata; Actinopteri; Spariformes; Sparidae
Exons: 2
Source: RefSeq, a predicted model, not a curated record
UGUCUGAAGACCACUGCUCAGGUGACAUAUUCAUUCAUCUUUAUCUCAAUCUCAAUGGCAAGCCCUGGACCUCAGUAAUGUGGAGAGCACACGUUACAAACAAAAUACGUGCACACACGUGACGGGUUCAUGAUAAUGAUAACAGAUACGAAUCAAUAUGACAGAAUACAGCUGUCACAUCUUACAGCUGCUUCAUAUGAUGAGAGGAGCAACAGUCACCAACAAUGAAUCCGAUGAAGAUGAACUCGGUCUUCUGGAGGAAGAGUGGAGACAGAUGCAGGUCCGUCGAUGACAUCACAAUAAUUCAGGACCAAUAACAAGACCGCUUCAAUGACCCGUUUGUUUUAUCUUGCUGAGAAGUGUGUUAAUAUAACAUUUAGCUGUGUGUUUCUGAUCCAACCAGUAUACAGAUAUUUGUAUUCAGAAGCCCUUUGUUUCCUGUUACAUGCAGACCGUGUGAGAUCUGUGGUUCUGGAGAACAUCAGGACUUUGGUUUUGUUUGUAUUGACGCUUCCGUCCAAAGUGACUGACAGUAAUUCACGCACACAUUCACACACUGAUGGUGGCGGCUGCCAUGUUCGAGCAGCACCUCAGGAGCAGGCCGGGCUUCAGGUUCUGGCCCAACGACACUUCCACAUAAAGCCAGUGGGAUAACAUGGGGGAUACCUGUGCCAGUGCAGGUGCUCUCCUCUCCACCGGGACCUUUGAGCGGGAGAUCGGGGAUUGGUCCGGUAAUCACAGCCAGCAGUGUUGGCAGCUAUCAAGUCUCUUUCUCGACCUCUGCUGUCACAAUCAGGGUCUUGGUGGAGGCGCACGGGCGGCUGAGGACACGCGGCCGCACACACAGCUGGCAGAUGACCGGCUCCAGACUGAAGCCUGCAGCUGAAGCCGGAACACCACUCGCCUGGCUCCGAAUGAUCUGAAACAUCAUUUAAAUAAGGAAAUAAACUUUGACUGCAACCGAG